ACGGGAAUUUGAUCAGGUACGUCCGGAAAGGAACGCUAAUACCGCAUACGUCCUACGGGAGAAAGCAGGGGACCUUCGGGGUUGGCGCUAUCAGAUGAGCCUAGGUCGGAUUAGCUAGUAGGUGAGGUAAUGGCUCACCUAGGCGACGAUCCGUAACUGGUCUGAGAGGAUGAUCAGUCACACUGGAACUGAGACACGGUCCAGACUCCUACGGGAGGCAGCAGUGGGGAAUAUUGGACAAUGGGCGAAAGCCUGAUCCAGCCAUGCCGCGUGUGUGAAGAAGGUCUUCGGAUUGUAAAGCACUUUAAGUUGGGAGGAAGGGCAGUAAGUUAAUACCUUGCUGUUUUGACGUUACCAACAGAAUAAGCACCGGCUAACUUCGUGCCAGCAGCCGCGGUAAUACGAAGGGUGCAAGCGUUAAUCGGAAUUACUGGGCGUAAAGUGUGUGUAGGUGGUUCAGCAAGUUGGAGGUGAAAUCCCCGGGCUCAACCUGGGAACUGCCUCCAAAACUACUGAGCUAGAGUACGGUAGAGGGUAGCGGAAUUUCCUGUGUAGCGGUGAAAUGCGUAGAUAUAGGAAGGAACACCAGUGA
RNAcentral lists this ribosomal RNA (592 nucleotides) under uncultured Pseudomonas sp. RNAcentral describes it as "bacterial SSU rRNA". It matches the Rfam family "Bacterial small subunit ribosomal RNA", at positions 124 to 715 of the family's 1533-position model. The record is from RNAcentral. Lineage: Bacteria; Pseudomonadati; Pseudomonadota; Gammaproteobacteria; Pseudomonadales; Pseudomonadaceae.